CCUACGGGAGGCAGCAGUGGGGAAUAUUGCGCAAUGGGCGAAAGCCUGACGCAGCGACGCCACGUGAGGGAUGAAGGUCUUCGGAUCGUAAACCUCUGUCAGCAGGGAAGAACGGUCACUGUGCUAAUCAGCAGUGAAUUGACGGUACCUGCAAAGGAAGCACCGGCUAACUCCGUGCCAGCAGCCGCGGUAAUACGGAGGGUGCGAGCGUUAAUCGGAAUUACUGGGCGUAAAGCGCUCGUAGGCGGUAUGUCAAGUCAAGGGUGAAAUCCCCGCGCUCAACGUGGGAACUGCCUUUGAAACUGGCAGACUGGAGUGUGUGAGAGGAUAGUGGAAUUCCAGGUGUAGGAGGGAAAUCCGUAGAUAUCUGGAGGAACAUCAGUGGCGAAGGCGACUAUCUGGCACAUAACUGACGCUGAGGAGCGAAAGCGUGGGUAGCAAACAGGAUUAGAUACCCUUGUAGUC
Molecule: ribosomal RNA, 465 nt
Filed under: uncultured bacterium
Lineage: Bacteria
Description: partial 16S ribosomal RNA
Rfam family: Bacterial small subunit ribosomal RNA
Source: RNAcentral